GAGAAAAACUUUGACAUAAUUUUCAAGUUUGAUAUGACCUAAUAACUACCACAUUUACAGGAAGUAUGGUAAUACAUUCUUGUCAGCUGUCUGGGCAAAUCUUCUCUCGCAGAAUUGGAUUAAAAUUUAAUGUAUUUUAUUUCUCACUUCCAACGAUGUCGCAAUUAUUAGGCAGCUAUCAAGUCUCAAGAUAUGACAUAAUUUGAUAGAAUGUUAGUACCAACGCUAUCAGUGCAUUGAAGUCGAGUUCUCGAUACAGGGAGCUGCUGGUAAACUACCGC
Molecule: long non-coding RNA, 281 nt
Organism: Bolinopsis microptera
Lineage: Eukaryota; Metazoa; Ctenophora; Tentaculata; Lobata; Bolinopsidae
Exons: 3
Source: RefSeq, a predicted model, not a curated record